AGUGAACGCUGGCGGUAGGCCUAACACAUGCAAGUCGAACGGCAGCACAGUAAGAGCUUGCUCUUACGGGUGGCGAGUGGCGGACGGGUGAGGAAUACAUCGGAAUCUACUUUUUCGUGGGGGAUAACGUAGGGAAACUUACGCUAAUACCGCAUACGACCUACGGGUGAAAGCAGGGGAUCUUCGGACCUUGCGCGAUUGAAUGAGCCGAUGUCGGAUUAGCUAGUUGGCAAGGUAAAGGCGCACCAAGGCGACGAUCCGUAGCUGGUCUGAGAGGAUGAUAGGACACACUGGAACUGAGACACGGUCCAGACUCCGACGGGAGGCAGCAGUAGGGAAUCUGCCGCAAUGGGCGAAAGCCUGACGGAGCAACGCCGCGUGAGUGAUGAAGGUCUGCGGAUCGUAAAACUCUGUUAUUAGGGAAGAACAUAUGUGUAAGUAACUGUGCACAUCUUGACGGUACCUAAUCAGAAAGCCACGGCUAACUACGUG
Molecule: ribosomal RNA, 492 nt
Filed under: uncultured bacterium
Lineage: Bacteria
Description: partial 16S ribosomal RNA
Rfam family: Bacterial small subunit ribosomal RNA
Source: RNAcentral